UUGAUAGGAAAGAGGAAGUCAGUCACACAAUGGAAAUCAACUCUGAGCUCGGCUCGUGCUCUGAAGAGUUCAAAGCUUCGAUUCGCGCACUGGAUCUCUCGGUGACUUUCUCUACGUUAUCACAUCGUUUGAAUGUCAUAAAAUGACGGAGAAUGAGCUUCAUCUCGUACUGAAGGUUAUAGCCUUUGUAGAUGUGAUGUUUGAGACCGAGGAUUGCAACGAUACCCUUCAGGGCUAUUCGUCGAUCUCGAUACGUUGCCCGAUGUAAACUGCUUAUGAUUUUGAAAGAGAAACGAUUGAAGUCAGUCAUACCAACGGGAAAUCAACCUUUUGAGCUCGGUCUCGUGGGUUUUGAAGAGUUUCAAAGCCUUCGGAUUCGCGGGAUUGGGAUCUCUCGGUGUACUUUCUCGUACGGUUAGUCAACAUCGGUUUUGAAUGUCAUAAAAUGACUGGAGGAAUGUAGCUUCGAUCUCGUAUUGAAGUGUUAUAGCCUUUGGUAGAUGUGAUGUUUGAGACCGAGGAUUGCAACGGAUACCCUUCAGGGCUAUUCGUCUGAUCUCUGAUACGUUGCCCUGAUGUUGAAAGCUUGCCCUUUGAAGAUUAGGGGUUAUUAACACGGUAUAAA
This 625-nucleotide ribosomal RNA is filed under the name uncultured Glomus. RNAcentral's name for it is "eukaryotic LSU rRNA". Lineage: Eukaryota; Fungi; Glomeromycota; Glomeromycetes; Glomerales; Glomeraceae. The record is from RNAcentral.